ACUCCUACGGGAGGCAGCAGUGGGGAAUAUUGCACAAUGGGCGCAAGCCUGAUGCAGCCAUGCCGCGUGUAUGAAGAAGGCCUUCGGGUUGUAAAGUACUUUCAGCAGUGAGGAAGGUGGGUAUNGUUAAUAGCAUACUCAUUUGACGUUAGCUGCAGAAGAAGCACCGGCUAACUCCGUGCCAGCAGCCGCGGUAAUACGGAGGGUGCGAGCGUUAAUCGGAAUUACUGGGCGUAAAGCGCAUGCAGGUGGUUUGUUAAGUCAGAUGUGAAAGCCCGGGGCUCAACCUCGGAAUUGCAUUUGAAACUGGCAAACUAGAGUACUGUAGAGGGGGGUAGAAUUUCAGGUGUAGCGGUGAAAUGCGUAGAGAUCUGAAGGAAUACCGGUGGCGAAGGCGGCCCCCUGGACAGAUACUGACACUCAGAUGCGAAAGCGUGGGGAGCAAACAGGAUUAGAUACCCUGGUAGGCUCU
RNAcentral lists this ribosomal RNA (472 nucleotides) under uncultured bacterium. RNAcentral describes it as "bacterial SSU rRNA". It matches the Rfam family "Bacterial small subunit ribosomal RNA", at positions 335 to 798 of the family's 1533-position model. The record is from RNAcentral.